This 666-nucleotide ribosomal RNA is filed under the name Salmonella enterica. RNAcentral's name for it is "partial 23S ribosomal RNA". It matches the Rfam family "Bacterial large subunit ribosomal RNA", at positions 2259 to 2925 of the family's 2925-position model. The record is from RNAcentral. RNAcentral also lists the same sequence under 1 other name. Lineage: Bacteria; Pseudomonadati; Pseudomonadota; Gammaproteobacteria; Enterobacterales; Enterobacteriaceae.
UGGUGGGUAGUUUGACUGGGGCGGUCUCCUCCUAAAGAGUAACGGAGGAGCACGAAGGUUGGCUAAUCCUGGUCGGACAUCAGGAGGUUAGUGCAAUGGCAUAAGCCAGCUUGACUGCGAGCGUGACGGCGCGAGCAGGUGCGAAAGCAGGUCAUAGUGAUCCGGUGGUUCUGAAUGGAAGGGCCAUCGCUCAACGGAUAAAAGGUACUCCGGGGAUAACAGGCUGAUACCGCCCAAGAGUUCAUAUCGACGGCGGUGUUUGGCACCUCGAUGUCGGCUCAUCACAUCCUGGGGCUGAAGUAGGUCCCAAGGGUAUGGCUGUUCGCCAUUUAAAGUGGUACGCGAGCUGGGUUUAGAACGUCGUGAGACAGUUCGGUCCCUAUCUGCCGUGGGCGCUGGAGAACUGAGGGGGGCUGCUCCUAGUACGAGAGGACCGGAGUGGACGCAUCACUGGUGUUCGGGUUGUCAUGCCAAUGGCACUGCCCGGUAGCUAAAUGCGGAAGAGAUAAGUGCUGAAAGCAUCUAAGCACGAAACUUGCCCCGAGAUGAGUUCUCCCUGAGACUUAGAGUCUCCUGAAGGAACGUUGAAGACGACGACGUUGAUAGGCCGGGUGUGUAAGCGCAGCGAUGCGUUGAGCUAACCGGUACUAAUGAACCGUGAGGCUU